CCUACGGGUGGCAGCAGUGAGGAAUAUUGGUCAAUGGGCGCGAGCCUGAACCAGCCACGUAGCGUGAAGGAUGACUGCCCUACGGUUUGUAAACUUCUUUUAUAUGGGAAUACAAUGUUCCUAGUGUGUGAUUUUGUAUGUACCAUAUGAAUAAGGAUCGGCUAACUCCGUGCCAGCCGCCGCGGUAAUACGGAGGAUCCGAGCGUUAUCCGGAUUUAUUUGGUUUAAAGGGAGCGUAGGUGGGUUGUUAAGUCAGUUUUGAAAGUUUGCGGCUCAACCGUAAAAUUGCAGUUGAAACUGGCAGUCUUGAGUACAGUAGAGGUAGGCGGAAUUCGAGGUGUAGCGGUGAAAUGCUUAGAUAUAACGAAGAACUCCGAUUGCGAAGGCAGUUCACUGGACUGAAACUGACACUGAGGCUCGAAAGUGUGGGUAUCAAACAGGAUUAGAUACCCGUGUAGUC
Molecule: ribosomal RNA, 460 nt
Filed under: uncultured bacterium
Lineage: Bacteria
Description: partial 16S ribosomal RNA
Rfam family: Bacterial small subunit ribosomal RNA
Source: RNAcentral